RNAcentral lists this long non-coding RNA (272 nucleotides) under Homo sapiens (human). RNAcentral describes it as "HSALNT0252455". Lineage: Eukaryota; Metazoa; Chordata; Mammalia; Primates; Hominidae. The record is from RNAcentral.
GAAAUGUUUGGGAGGAGUCACAGCAGCAAGAGACACUGCUCUGGAGCUGUUUGCUGGAACCAACAGAUACAGGAAGAGUUUGUAAUGCGGAAGCAAAAAGAAAAAAGAUCUUCAUUAUACAUCUGCUCAUCAGCAGAACAAAUUCCCAUGGCUCUCUGUUCUAAUCAGGAGGAAGUAAUCUUCCUUUCUCACCUGACUGGUUCUCCAACUUGGCUCUUGAAGCUGACAGCUCUCCAACCCCUCCCUCCAGGAUGUGAUCUAUAAGAUUGGAA